GGGGUUGUAGCUUAGUGGUAGAGUGCUUACCUAGCAUGUGUGAGACACUGGGUUCAAUCCUCAGCACCACA
Molecule: transfer RNA, 71 nt
Filed under: Marmota monax (woodchuck)
Lineage: Eukaryota; Metazoa; Chordata; Mammalia; Rodentia; Sciuridae
Description: tRNA.Ala
Rfam family: tRNA
About the family: Transfer RNA (tRNA) molecules are approximately 80 nucleotides in length. Their secondary structure includes four short double-helical elements and three loops (D, anti-codon, and T loops). Further hydrogen bonds mediate the characteristic L-shaped molecular structure. tRNAs have two regions of fundamental functional importance: the anti-codon, which is responsible for specific mRNA codon recognition, and the 3' end, to which the tRNAs corresponding amino acid is attached (by aminoacyl-tRNA synthetases). tRNAs cope with the degeneracy of the genetic code in two manners: having more than one tRNA (with a specific anti-codon) for a particular amino acid; and 'wobble' base-pairing, i.e. permitting non-standard base-pairing at the 3rd anti-codon position.
Source: RNAcentral